UAAUACGUAGGCAGCAAGCGUUGUUCGGAGUUACUGGGCGUAAAGAGUGUGUAGGCGGUUCUCUAAGUCUGGUGUGAAAUCUCCCGGCUCAACUGGGAGGGUGCAUUGGGAACUGGAGGGCUCGAGUAUGGGAGAGGAAAGCGGAAUUCCUGGUGUAGCGGUGAAAUGCGUAGAUAUCAGGAGGAACACCUGUGGUGUAGACGGCUUUCUGGACCAUCACUGACGCUGAGACACGAAAGCGUGGGGAGCAAACAGGAUUAGAUACCCUGGUAGUCCACGCCCUAAACGAUGCAUACUUGGUGUGAGCCAUUCAGUUGGUUCGUGCCGGAGCUAACGCGUUAAGUAUGCCGCCUGGGGAGUACGGUCGCAAGGCUG
Molecule: ribosomal RNA, 375 nt
Filed under: uncultured bacterium
Lineage: Bacteria
Description: bacterial SSU rRNA
Rfam family: Bacterial small subunit ribosomal RNA
Source: RNAcentral